CCGGCGCACGGGUGAGUAACGCGUGGGGGAACCUGCCCUGUACAGGGGGAUAACACUUAGAAAUAGGUGCUAAUACCGCAUAAGCGCACAGUAUCGCAUGAUACAGUGUGAAAAACUCCGGUGGUACAGGAUGGACCCGCGUCUGAUUAGCUGGUUGGCGGGGUAACGGCCCACCAAGGCGACGAUCAGUAGCCGGCCUGAGAGGGUGAACGGCCACAUUGGGACUGAGACACGGCCCAAACUCCUACGGAAGGCAGCAG
This 260-nucleotide ribosomal RNA is filed under the name uncultured bacterium. RNAcentral's name for it is "partial 16S ribosomal RNA". It matches the Rfam family "Bacterial small subunit ribosomal RNA", at positions 95 to 354 of the family's 1533-position model. The record is from RNAcentral.